AGUAAUACAUAAGUAACCUGCCCUAGACAGGGGGAUAACUAUUGGAAACGAUAGCUAAGACCGCAUAGGUACGGACACUGCAUGGUGACCGUAUUAAAAGUGCCUCAAAGCACUGGUAGAGGAUGGACUUAUGGCGCAUUAGCUGGUUGGUGAGGUAACGGCUCACCAAGGCGACGAUGCGUAGCCGACCUGAGAGGGUGGACGGCCACACUGGGACUGAGACACGGCCCAGACUCCUACGGGAGGCAGCAUG
Molecule: ribosomal RNA, 253 nt
Filed under: uncultured bacterium
Lineage: Bacteria
Description: partial 16S ribosomal RNA
Rfam family: Bacterial small subunit ribosomal RNA
Source: RNAcentral